UCCACGCCGUAAACGUUGUAUACUAGGUGUAGGUGGCUUGUCCAUUUGUGCCGAAGCUAACGUGUUAAGUAUACCGCCUGGGGAGUACGGUCGCAAGACUGAAACUCAAAGAAAUUGACGGGGGCCCGCACAAGCGGCGGAGCAUGUGGUUUAAUUCGAUGAUACGCGAAGAACCUUACCUGGGCUUGAACUGUAGUCGCAAGAUGCAGAGAUGCGUUGUUCCUUCGGGACGG
This 233-nucleotide ribosomal RNA is filed under the name uncultured bacterium. Its description in RNAcentral is "partial 16S ribosomal RNA". It matches the Rfam family "Bacterial small subunit ribosomal RNA", at positions 794 to 1029 of the family's 1533-position model. The record is from RNAcentral.